RNA transcript from Nicotiana attenuata, 4806 nucleotides. It is a transcript of the gene named protein trichome birefringence-like 14, with no coding region annotated. The record is from RefSeq and is a predicted model, not a curated record. The transcript is spliced from 9 exons. Lineage: Eukaryota; Viridiplantae; Streptophyta; Magnoliopsida; Solanales; Solanaceae.
UCCUUUUCUACAUUGGUCUAGAACCAUCUCUCUUCUAUUCACAGAGGAGUACUUUUCAGUUUUCAACUUUUAGCUCUCUUCAUUUUUCUUAUCUAUCUCCUGCAAUUUCAGAGAAAUUGGGAAAUGGACUUCUAAUUUAGUUGAUUCAUCUAUUUGGGCGUGGACACAAUCAGACCCAUAUCUUGGCUUGGCGAACAUUGGAUGGUAUGCGAUAUGAGUGUUCUCUAUCACAUGCAACGGGUUCUUUUGCAGGAGCACAUUGAGUUGCAAUCUGGAAAAAAAAUAUAGCUAAAAGAAAACAACUUUGAUGCAGCCAAGAUUAUUGAAGGAGGAACAUUUGUGUGAUGCUCAGACGAAAAAUCGUCAUCUCAAGAUGCAAUUACUACCAGAGUAGAUUAUACAGUGAAAGAUGAAGAAGUUUUAAGAGAACGAAAUAGAUUAGAAAAAACAGAAAAGGAUAAGGUGACUGAAGAACUGAUUACUAAUACUGAGAUAGAAGGUAUGGUAUGUUUGAGUACAAUCUUUCAUCUUUUCUGAGUACCUCAAAUUAUGAAAAAUUAGUGCUAUAGUAAAGUCUCUUUCUUUCUCUGCUUCAUACAUCAAUGUCUGUUUUCUGCCCGUCAAAUUAAAAGAAAGAGAAGCUUCCUUUUCCUCAGUUGUAUGAAUAAAUAGAUCCUAAUAUGCUUACUGUGUACUGAAUCCGUUGCUUGAACUCCUCAACUUGAUUUAUAUUUGCCAAAGUGUCAGUUUCUCUGCAUAAAAGAACUACUUCCGCGCCUAUUCAUGUUUUAUAAUAUCUUUGUAUCCUGAGAUGUUAUUGAGGUGUUUUUAAGGAAGUGCGGGGUAUUCCUCCCAGCUUUGCCCAAAAAGGAGAUUUAAAAAGAGCUUUGGAAGAAAAAAAUAGUUCAAGACAACAAGAAAAUGAAGUUGCUCCUCCAGUGAAUUUGACAUCUGCCUCAAAAGUUGUAACUUUGCUAAAGGUUGAUGGAUCACAGAUGAUAGUAGGCCUUUAUAUUCUGGAUUUGGCUGCAAGCAAUGAUUGUCAUCCAUGUGGGCUUGCAGCUUAACACAACGUAUGGAUUUUGAAUACGAGAAACUACAUUGGAGACCAAGAGAUUAAGAGAUGGAAGAGUUUGCAGGUGUUAACUUCCUGAAAAGGGUCUAAAUUUUGUUGUUACAUAGAAUAUGGCGCUGCUCUCUCCCUUCUUCAAUUCUUCAGGUGAUAUUUAAUUGGCUUUACAUACAAGGAAUUUACUGAAUUUGGUUGUGCGGCCAGGAUGGAAAACGAAACUCUGGCUUUUAUUGGGGAUUACCUCGGUAGACAACAAUUUCAGCCACUUAUGUGUAUGAUUACUGGUGGUGAAGACAGACCUGAUGUUCUCGAUGUGGGAAGUGAAUAUGGUCUUGUAAAGGCUCGUGGUGCUAAACAACCUGAUGGAUGGGUUUAUCGAUUUCCGAGUACCCAAACAACUAACUUUACUUAUGAGGACAUACUUUUGAGGGUUUUAGUAUAAUUUUAUCUUCCUUGCCAUUUGAUUGGUGCACAGGAUAUAAGCUAUGUCAGUUGGUUCUCAGUAACCCCGAUAUACGCACCCUCCAUUACUGUUAAAUGGCCUAUGUUAUGAAUUAUCAGAUUGAGAGGUGAAAUGAUAAAGAGGUUCCUCUCACAGUGUAGCAUAUAUUGAUGUAGGCAAAGAACUGGAAGGUAGAAAAGAUGAGGGUUUAGUAUUCUGCAUUGGUGAAAGCAGGUAGAUAAUCUUCAUCAGUUGCUUAUCUUAAUUUUCAGCAGAACAGUGAAAGAAUGAAUCACAUCGGAUCAUGGUCAAUCUAGAAUAUCCAUUCCUCAAAUUGCUUCAAGGCAACUAGAUUACAAGAAGAAACAUUAAGUGGCUAUUUGUUAGAGUUAUAUGGUAUUCAAUUCUCUCAAUGAAGAAAGUAUCUGCGAAUUAUUUCAGUAGGUUAUUUUAUUCUUCAAGAGUGCCAAUUAUCAUGGAACUGAUUCUUUCUUCUAUUCUUAACUCUUGUUUUGAAAGUUAAAGCUCUCAGCUUUUCUUCUACUGGUGAAUGUUCCUUUGUGGGAUUUUGCACCUGUGUUAUAUGAAUAAAAUUAAAAUGUUUCCAUGAGUUGAAAUAUCUCAGAGCUGAAUCUUCUUAUAUUAGCUUCUUCUUUUUGAAUGUUCUAUGUUGGACAGUUGGAGAUGAGAAAGAAAUACACCUUGAAGGGCAAUAGAUGUGCAUGCUAUUGUAUAUUUGUCAAAACAAUACUAAGGUUGUCUUCUGAAGAAGAAAAAAGGGGGAAAUGCUAGAAAAACAAUGGAGAAAUAUACUAGGAAAAUAAUCUGCAAAAUCAAUUGACGCAUCCUAUUUGUUGGUAACCUGGAUUCUAAAGAUUCGAUUUAGGUGUUUUUCAUCCUUACAUUGAAUUGGCUAUCGUUUGGUUAUAGUAUUAGUUAUGUUUCCUUAUGCUUCGUGUUUGUUGCUAUCCAUUUUUCAAUGACCAUAAGUUUGACGUUAUUGUAAAAAAGCUAUUUGAUUCUUGUCAUUUUCUCUCAAAAUUGCCGGAGAUUUAGAUUUGAUUUAGUUCACAUAAACAGAGACAUUUAAGUUACAGCGUUGGGCCCGUGCUCAGCACGGGUAUAACCUCAUCUAGUAGUAGUAGAAGAGAAGUGUGGUCGACCAAGGUAAAAUUGUCUUUAUACUCUCCAUCUAGAAUUGCCUUUUCGAUUUUCUCAUCUUUUCAAUCUCUGUCAUAGUCCUUUUAGCUUCAUCUGCCAUAAAACACGUAUUCCUACUCGCCGGCGACAGCAACCAAGCUCAAAAGUAAAUAUGACUGAGAUUUUUCGUGUAUGUUUCUCUUAGCUCUUUCCUUCUGUUUUUCGAUCUCUUCUUACCUAAGUUUCAAGACCAUACUGAUGGAAUUUGGGUCUACUUCUGAAUUUUGUCCUAAUUAGUUAGUUGCCUUUCGAAUAUAUGUGCAUUCCACUUUCACAUCCCAGAUUUGCAUUCCGUAUACUCUGUUUCUUUUGUUACACCUUCUAGCCUUAUUUUUUGAGUUUCCUUUCAAAUUUCUCUAAUUUCCUUCUGUGUGUGCUAUAAUUCGUUCGGAGUUUUGCAGAAUUUUUCUUCAGUCUUUCUUUGUUUAUUGCAACCAUGUAUUGGUAAUGGGUAUUUGGUGGGUAUCUCUUAUUCACUACUCUCUACGAUAAUUUCUUCCAUUUUGUACGUCUGAAUUGCACAUGUUUGUUGGAAAAUUUUCCGCAUAGGUUUAAAUACGAGUUGGGCAUAAUUAAUUUCCAUCUAGGACAAAAAUAUUGAAGAAACAAACAAGAUCUCUCAUGCAACCAAGGUGUUUGAUAAUAUGUCUUAAAUACAAGAACUGUGUUGUUUACUUGAGAGCUGAAUUUGGCAUUUUAGGUAUGUAUUUGUAUUGGGUGCUCCUUUUUUGGUUUUCGUUUAAAAGACUAUAUUUGACUUUUGUAUAGGUUAUGGGUAUAUGUUUCCUUUAAUCACGUAUUAACAAGAUUGUCUACUCUUUCUUGACAUACAAUGAGUUACGUAUAUUAUUAACUUGGGAAACUGCACUUGAAAAAUCUACAAGAAAAAAUCUCAGUAAGAAACUUUACCAUAAGGUGUUAAAUUUGAAAUUUUCAUAUGCAACAUGGCAUUAAAUCUAAAGGUUUGAAAUGGAGGUUUCAAUAGAUUUUGCUAAUUAAUGGUUCUAAUGCUAAUUGGCGCUUUCCUUGAUGUUUUUACGGCCAAUUAGUAUCCCUCAAAUUAUGAUUUGUUUUCUUUAGACUAUGUAGCUUUCGAUGCAUGACCCCGAACUAAUAACUGCAUCAGUACAUAGCAAGAAAAGGGAAGCCCUCAUGUAGCUUUCCUUCUGGAAGAUGAACAAGGCUGAUACAAAUAGAUAGCUUUUUAUGUAUGACUAACCUGGAUGAAAAUAAUUUUUAUCCUGACAUUAGUUAUCGGGUCUUGGCUUCUUUUUAAGGCAAUGUUAAUUAGGCUUCAACAAUGAAGUAUCUUUUGAAAUUUGUCCUUAAUAUGAGUUGGAACUGGUACUUGGCAGGCAUUGCCUGAUUAUCUGUUAUAAAUUCUUUCUUAUUUUUGCAAUACUUUAAUUCUAUUUGUUGUUAUUUAGUGCAAGAUAAACAACUUACCCACAAAAAAAUAUAGAAAUUAAAAAAAAUAAAGUCUCUACCAGUGAUGCCAGAUUGAUGUUGCAAUUAUUUUGUUUCUUUUCUUGAAAGCUUGUAAAGUUAAGUGCCAGAAAAAUGAAUUUUGAAUUUGUGUAUUUAUACAUAAUGAAAAACUUUGGUUCUAAUACUGAAGCAUGUCAUUUAUAAAUCUUAAUAUGUUCUCUUUAUGUUUUUCUCCAUGGAUAAAUAUUUUUUCUAUAUAUAGUUAGUCACAUUGGAGGAUCUAGAAUUACAGAACAGACUUUGGUUAGCUUUUCAAUAGUGCUGACUAUUUUAUUCUGCUAUUAUUAUUCAUAUGUAUUGUAUUGUGUUAAAUGAUAUAUAUUGCUAGCAUAUUGUAGUUGAAAGGAAAACUAAAAUGCUUGGUCGAAUGAAGGAAAAAGCUGUUAUUGCCAAGCAUCAAUAACAAAUGUUAGCAGACACUGAUGAAUUAUGGGUUUAGCUGCAUGUCACAUCAUUAGUUUGUCAAGACUUCAUCAAUGACAACGUUGCCGCAUACAAUACCUUUGUUUUUUUUUCUCUUUUCCUAAUUCUAGACCCAUUACAUUGGUCGAUAUUCUCUGUUGAUUAUAAGAUAAAUUAUUUGUAAUACAAAGAUUUUGUGUCU